GCAGUGCAACCCUGGCUAUUUUCUGGGCAAGGCUGGUGCUCUGGUGCUGGACUUCAUUUGCCUGAAGGAAGCAGUGCAUUUUUCUAACUUGUGUGAAGACAUUGUAUGGACUAGCUGUGGCCCUGGAGCCAUGUAUGUGGAUGGGGUCGGCCUCACUGAACCACUGAGACUGUGAGUGGGAGAGGGAUAGUCCUCUGAAUGAAAAUUAGGUUCACCUUCUAUAAGGGAGAAUGGAUGCGCAAGCAGAACUAUUGGAUAUACAUUACAGAAAGUAAUGCCAUUACUGUAAUUCUGAAUCUUGCCUUGUAGAGCAACUCGACUCUUUAAGUCUACUCAACUCAGCUCAACGCAAUCCAACAAUUAUUUUUUAUAGGCCAAAGUGUGUGUGUGUGUGUGUUUGCACACACACCUGUGUGCUGGGUAGGGAGGUGUUACCAAAAGAAAAGACCUACCUUCAAAAAGCAUAAAGUAUUCUGAUUUUAAGCCACGCCAACUAUGAAAGUUUUUCUUAAAUUCGACUCUGUUAUACCAAAUAAAUUAAAAAUUAUGCAAAAUUAAAGAUGGUAGCAUGUUUCUUUAGUUGCUUUUUAGCAAAAUAAUCUGUGUAUUUCAGUGAA
This 617-nucleotide long non-coding RNA is filed under the name Homo sapiens (human). RNAcentral's name for it is "HSALNT0321842". Lineage: Eukaryota; Metazoa; Chordata; Mammalia; Primates; Hominidae. The record is from RNAcentral.